AGAGUUUGAUCCUGGCUCAGGACGAACGCUGGCGGCGUGCUUAACACAUGCAAGUCGAGCGGAAAGGCCCUUCGGGGUACUCGAGCGGCGAACGGGUGAGUAACACGUGAGCAACCUGCCCCUGACUCUGGGAUAAGCCCGGGAAACUGGGUCUAAUACCGGAUACGACGACCGUCCGCAUGGGUGGUCGUGGAAAGUUU
RNAcentral lists this ribosomal RNA (200 nucleotides) under uncultured bacterium. RNAcentral's name for it is "partial 16S ribosomal RNA". It matches the Rfam family "Bacterial small subunit ribosomal RNA", at positions 8 to 210 of the family's 1533-position model. The record is from RNAcentral.